This 1486-nucleotide ribosomal RNA is filed under the name uncultured bacterium. RNAcentral's name for it is "bacterial SSU rRNA". It matches the Rfam family "Bacterial small subunit ribosomal RNA". The record is from RNAcentral.
AGAGUUUGAUCAUGGCUCAGGAUGAACGCUAGCGGCAGGCUUAACACAUGCAAGUCGAACGGUAACAUGAGUGCUUGCACUUGAUGACGAGUGGCGCACGGGUGCGUAACGCGUAUGCAACUUACCCUAAACUGGAGAAUAGCCUUUAGAAAUGAAGAAUAAUACUCCAUAGUAUUCCGAGAAGGCAUCUUCUUGGUCUUAAAGCUUUGGCGGUUUAGGAUAGGCAUGCGUUCUAUUAGUUAGUUGGUGAGGUAACGGCUUACCAAGACCACGAUAGAUAGGGGGCCUGAGAGGGUUGUCCCCCACACUGGUACUGAGACACGGACCAGACUCCUACGGGAGGCAGCAGUGAGGAAUAUUGCACAAUGGACGAAAGUCUGAUGCAGCCAUGCCGCGUGCAGGAUGAAUGCCCUAUGGGUUGUAAACUGCUUUUAUAUAGGAAGAAACUUUUCUACGUGUAGAGAACUGACGGUACUAUAAGAAUAAGGACCGGCUAACUCCGUGCCAGCAGCCGCGGUAAUACGGAGGGUCCAAGCGUUAUCCGGAUUUAUUGGGUUUAAAGGGUCCGUAGGCGGGAGAUUAAGUCAGUGGUGAAAGCCUACAGCUCAACUGUAGAACUGCCAUUGAAACUGAUCUUCUUGAAUUUAGAUGAAGUGGGCGGAAUAUAUCAUGUAGCGGUGAAAUGCAUAGAUAUGAUAUAGAACACCGAUUGCGAAGGCAGCUCACUAAACUAAUAUUGACGCUGAGGGACGAAAGUGUGGGGAGCGAACAGGAUUAGAUACCCUGGUAGUCCACACCGUAAACGAUGAUUACUCGAUGCUAGCGAUAUACAGUUAGUGUCUAAGCGAAAGCGAUAAGUAAUCCACCUGGGGAGUACGGUCGCAAGAUUGAAACUCAAAGGAAUUGACGGGGGCCCGCACAAGCGGUGGAGCAUGUGGUUUAAUUCGAUGAUACGCGAGGAACCUUACCUGGGCUUAAAUGUAUUUUGACAGGCUGAGAAAUCAGUUUUUCUUCGGACAAUUUACAAGGUGCUGCAUGGUUGUCGUCAGCUCGUGCUGUGAGGUGUCGGGUUAAGUCCCAUAACGAGCGCAACCCCUAUCCUUAGUUGCCAGCGAGUAAUGUCGGGGACUCUAGGGAAACUGCCGGUGCAAACCGUGAGGAAGGUGGGGAUGACGUCAAAUCAUCACGGCCCUUACGUCCAGGGCUACACACGUGCUACAACGGCGCAUACAAAGGGCGGCUACAUGGUGACAUGAUGCUAAUCUCUAAAGUGCGUCUCAGUUCGGAUCGAAGUCUGCAACUCGACUUCGUGAAGCUGGAAUCGCUAGUAAUCGCGUAUCAGCAAUGACGCGGUGAAUACGUUCCCGGGCCUUGUACACACCGCCCGUCAAGCCAUGGAAGUUGGGAGUGCCUGAAGUCGGUGACCGCAAGGAGCUGCCUAAGGUAAAACUAGUAACUAGGGCUAAGUCGUAACAAGGUAACCGUA